RNAcentral lists this ribosomal RNA (837 nucleotides) under uncultured bacterium. RNAcentral's name for it is "bacterial SSU rRNA". It matches the Rfam family "Bacterial small subunit ribosomal RNA", at positions 62 to 858 of the family's 1533-position model. The record is from RNAcentral.
UCGAGCGAGUCUGCCUUGAAGAUCGGAGUGCUUGCACUCUGUGAAACAAGAUACAGGCUAGCGGCGGACGGGUGAGUAACACGUGGGUAACCUGCCCAAGAGAUCGGGAUAACACCUGGAAACAGAUGCUAAUACCGGAUAACAACAGAUGAUGCCUAUCAACUGUUUAAAAGAUGGUUCUGCUAUCACUCUUGGAUGGACCUGCGGUGCAUUAGCUAGUUGGUAGGGUAACGGCCUACCAAGGCGAUGAUGCAUAGCCGAGUUGAGAGACUGAUCGGCCACAUUGGGACUGAGACACGGCCCAAACUCCUACGGGAGGCAGCAGUAGGGAAUCUUCCACAAUGGACGCAAGUCUGAUGGAGCAACGCCGCGUGAGUGAAGAAGGGUUUCGGCUCGUAAAGCUCUGUUGUUGGUGAAGAAGGACAGGGGUAGUAACUGACCUUUGUUUGACGGUAAUCAAUUAGAAAGUCACGGCUAACUACGUGCCAGCAGCCGCGGUAAUACGUAGGUGGCAAGCGUUGUCCGGAUUUAUUGGGCGUAAAGCGAGUGCAGGCGGCUCGAUAAGUCUGAUGUGAAAGCCUUCGGCUCAACCGGAGAAUUGCAUCAGAAACUGUCGAGCUUGAGUACAGAAGAGGAGGGUGGAACUCCAUGUGUAGCGGUGAAAUGCGUAGAUAUAUGGAAGAACACCGGUGGCGAAGGCGGCUCUCUGGUCUGUUACUGACGCUGAGGCUCGAAAGCAUGGGUAGCGAACAGGAUUAGAUACCCUGGUAGUCCAUGCCGUANACGAUGAGUGCUAAGUGUUGGGAGGUUUCCGCCUCUCAGUGCUGCAGCUAACGC